Molecule: ribosomal RNA, 422 nt
Filed under: uncultured Chlorobiota bacterium
Lineage: Bacteria; Pseudomonadati; Chlorobiota
Description: bacterial SSU rRNA
Rfam family: Bacterial small subunit ribosomal RNA
Source: RNAcentral
UGAGGAAUAUUGCGCAAUGGCCGAAAGGCUGACGCAGCGACGCCGCGUGAGGGAUGAAGUCCGUUAGGAUGUAAACCUCUUUUGCAGGGGAUGAAUGUCCCGCUUCGCGCGGGAUUGACAGUACCCUGCGAAUAAGGAUCGGCUAACUACGUGCCAGCAGCCGCGGUAAUACGUAGGAUCCGAGCGUUGUCCGGAAUUACUGGGUGUAAAGGGCGUGUAGGUGGAUUCUUAAGUCGGUGGUGAAAGCCUGCAGCUUAACUGCAGAAUUGCCUUCGAUACUGAGGAUCUUGAGUACGGCAGAGGGAGAUGGAAUUCAUGGUGUAGCGGUGAAAUGUGUAGAUAUCAUGAAGAACACCGGUAGCGAAGGCGGUCUCCUGGUCCGUAACUGACACUGAUGCGCGAAAGCGUGGGGAGCAAACAGG